GAUCAUUAUUGAAUCCAAGGAUGUUGCUGGCAUUUUUUAAAUGCAUGUGCACUCCAUCUUUCAAACCCACCUGUGCACUUAUUGUAGACUUGAAAGAGUCUAUGUUUUAUACACACACAUUGAAGUCUUAUGAAUGUCAUUAGACCUUUUGGUCAAAAUGUAAUACAACUUUCAACAACGGAUCUCUUGGUUCUCGCAUCGAUGAAGAACGCAGCGAAUUGCGAUAUGUAAUGUGAAUUGCAGAAUUCAGUGAAUCAUCGAAUCUUUGAACGCACCUUGCGCCCUUUGGUAUUCCGAAGGGCAUGCCUGUUUGAGUGUCAUUAAAUUCUCAACUUCAAAUGUUUUUGAAGCUUUGGACUUGGAGGUUAUGCAGGCUCUUUGAUAGUCAGCUCCUCUUAAAUGCAUUAGCAGAACUUGUACAGUUCGGCUCUGGUUUGAUAAUCCUAUCUAUGCCAUUGCUGAGAUGUGAUUGUUCAGCUUCUAAUCGUCCUUUAGGGCCGGUUUCUAUGAGGCAUUAAUAUUGACUGACCUCAAAUCAUGUAGAU
RNAcentral lists this ribosomal RNA (545 nucleotides) under uncultured Clavariaceae. Its description in RNAcentral is "eukaryotic LSU rRNA". The stretch from base 167 to 320 matches the Rfam family "5.8S ribosomal RNA". The record is from RNAcentral. Lineage: Eukaryota; Fungi; Basidiomycota; Agaricomycetes; Agaricales; Clavariaceae.